RNAcentral lists this ribosomal RNA (435 nucleotides) under Phenylobacterium sp. RNAcentral describes it as "partial 23S ribosomal RNA". It matches the Rfam family "Bacterial large subunit ribosomal RNA", at positions 1 to 438 of the family's 2925-position model. Lineage: Bacteria; Pseudomonadati; Pseudomonadota; Alphaproteobacteria; Caulobacterales; Caulobacteraceae. The record is from RNAcentral.
GAUCAAGCGUAUAAGGGCUUCUGAUGGAUGCCUUGGCGUCGAGAGGCGAUGAAGGACGUGGCACGCUGCGAUAAGCUUCGGGGAGGCGCGAGCACCCUUUGAUCCGAAGAUUUCCGAAUGGGGAAACCCACCUUAACGGUCUGCGAAUUUUACCUUCGGCUUCGGCCGGCGGUACGGUUCGUAGGGCGUUUAAAGGUAUAAUGACCUGAAUACAUAGGGUUCAUUAAGCAAACCCGGGGAACUGAAACAUCUCAGUACCCGGAGGAAAGGACAUCAACCGAGACUCCCGUAGUAGUGGCGAGCGAACCGGGACCAGGCCAGUGCUGUCGUGACAUAAAGCUGAACGACUUGGAAAGGUCGGCCAUAGUGGGUGAUAGCCCCGUAAGCAUCAAUUAGCGACAGACUCGAGUAGGGCGGGACACGUGAAAUCCUGUC